UUUGGCAGCACAUAUACUUAAACAACAACAAAAAAGGAACAACAAACAGAUAUUAGCAUGGCCCUUGUGCAAGAAUGACAUGCAAAUUUAUGAAGCAUUCUGUACAUUA
RNAcentral lists this small nuclear RNA (109 nucleotides) under Cavia porcellus (domestic guinea pig). Lineage: Eukaryota; Metazoa; Chordata; Mammalia; Rodentia; Caviidae. The record is from RNAcentral.